CCUACGGGAGGCAGCAGUAAGGAAUAUUGGACAAUGGACGCAAGUCUGAUCCAGCCAUGCCGCGUGAAGGAUUAAGGUCCUCUGGAUUGUAAACUUCUUUUAUAAGGGACGAAAAAAGGUCUUUCUAGAUCGUCUGACGGUACCUUAUGAAUAAGCACCGGCUAACUCCGUGCCAGCAGCCGCGGUAAUACGGAGGGUGCAAGCGUUAUCCGGAUUCACUGGGUUUAAAGGGUGCGUAGGCGGGCAGGUAAGUCAGUGGUGAAAUCCUAGAGCUUAACUCUAGAACUGCCAUUGAUACUAUCUGUCUUGAAUAUUGUGGAGGUAAGCGGAAUAUGUCAUGUAGCGGUGAAAUGCUUAGAUAUGACAUAGAACACCUAUUGCGAAGGCAGCUUACUACGCAUAUAUUGACGCUGAGGCACGAAAGCUGGGGAUCAAACAGGAUUAGAUACCCUGGUAGUCCACGCCCUAAACGAUGGAUACUCGACAUACGCGAUACACUGUGUGUGUCUGAGCGAAAGCAUUAAGUAUCCCACCUGGGAAGUACGACCGCAAGGUUGAAACGUCAAAUGAAUUGACGGCGUUGAGGACGNGCGAGGCGACACGAGGGAGAGG
RNAcentral lists this ribosomal RNA (612 nucleotides) under uncultured bacterium. RNAcentral describes it as "bacterial SSU rRNA". It matches the Rfam family "Bacterial small subunit ribosomal RNA", at positions 338 to 950 of the family's 1533-position model. The record is from RNAcentral.